GCCUUAUCUGAUCACUUAGAAAGUUUAUAUAUACAUAUACAUAUAUAUGUAUGUAUAUAUAUGUAUGUAAGUGUGUAAUUUCUUACAGAUAGCUUAUAUAUAGUCGAGCACCGAUGUCUUCUUCAUUCUCACUUUAAAUCAACUGGUAUUUGGACAAACAUGUUAAUUAAGGAAACACAGGCUUUAAAACUUUGUCAAAAUACGUGCACCUCCACACAGGCAAGUAAGGUGAUUAAAUUUUCAGAUUUUAAAAGAGAUUGGUUGGUUGUCCUUGCUGAAACCAAAAUUUGUUUAUUUGGUUUCACUUAUAGCUUGUUCUGCUCUUUUCUCUCAAAAGCCACGAAUGAUGAGAUGACAAAAUAUUGGAUUAUUUGUGCUCUUGAAACAGAUGCCACCUGAGUUGUGACAGGAACUUUGGGGAACUCUAUUCUACAACAAUAAUGACAUGGAAGAGUUAAAAUUGGAUGUGUGGGUCAGUGUCACACGGGCCUGAGGAACUUUCACUGAGUCACCCCAGCGGUAGAGACAGAGAAGAAAUGCAGGUUUUUGCCACUUCAGAGAAGGGAGGGGCAUGGAAAAGGGGCAUGGCUGCAUGGAAAAGUCUGGAUACCAAAGCAAUCUUUGAGAUUGAGAGGAGAAUUUGGCAUGAGUUUUAUAUACAAGUGUGUAUACAAUCAAGUGUGGACAUGGAAGGCUCAAUGAAUGCCUGCACAGAGCCCAGACAUCACAAAGACUUAGGUAUAUCCUUCAGCCUUCAAAAAGGAAAGGAAGUAAGAAUUUUCAAGGACAGGCAUAUCCUUUUUUCUCUGGACCCCUGGAGAUUCAGACCAGGAGCCCUAUUAGGAUGA
RNAcentral lists this long non-coding RNA (848 nucleotides) under Neogale vison (American mink). Its description in RNAcentral is "Neovison vison (American mink) lncRNA (ENSNVIG00000023962.1)". Lineage: Eukaryota; Metazoa; Chordata; Mammalia; Carnivora; Mustelidae. The record is from RNAcentral.